RNAcentral lists this long non-coding RNA (1203 nucleotides) under Sorghum bicolor (sorghum). RNAcentral describes it as "long non-coding RNA (SBIC_LNC015077)". Lineage: Eukaryota; Viridiplantae; Streptophyta; Magnoliopsida; Poales; Poaceae. The record is from RNAcentral.
CUCUGUGAUCAGACUUUUUUGCGAGAGAAAAAAAAAUAACAAAUCGAUGACUUCUAUUGUGCACUUCCCUAGGAACUCAUGGUGUCACUGCAAACCCUGUCGCCCACAUCUGGGCCUUGUUUUUUUAGUUCCUCACAAAUUUUAUAAAAUUUUUCAGAUUUCUUGUCAUAUUCAAUCUUACAGUACAUGCACAGAACAUUAAAUAUAGAUCAAAUAACUAAUUAUAUAGUUUAUAUAUAAUUUAUGAGGCAAAUAUUUUAAGUCUAUAUGAUUGUACAAUAUUUAUUAAAUACAAACAAAAGUGCUAUAAUUUCUAUUUUGAAAAAAAAAGUUACAACUAAACAAGGCCCUCGACGUGUAAUGUGUGACUGCUGUUGCUCUUAGUACAAAUUUUGUUAUUUUUAAGGGUCUGGCAUCAACUUUAGGGUCAUUCGUUGCUUUGCUCAUAGGGGGGCAUGCAGAGGCAUACAUGUUACAUGUACUGUACAUAGAACCCGUUUCACCAUUUUCAUAGACUAAACCCUCCUUCAGGCUUUCUAUUACCAAAUAAUUAAUCUGGCUACAGCACUUGGUACUGAACACGAAACAUUGCUCAAAACAUUUUGUUUUGACCAACUAGAUUUAUAAUAUAAAGGAGUAAAUUUCAUUGGACUGUACUUAUGACCGUCAAAAUUAUAGCAAAAACACAUUCUACAAUGUUGUACGUAGAACUACAUCUGUUCGCUUAUCUGAUAAGCCAUGGCUGAAAGUACUGUUCGCUAAAAACACUGCUGAAUAGUUGGCAGAUUUGGUAGAUACUUUUGUUACAAAGCUACACACUUUUUAUUAAGAGCUAUAUAUUAGGUUUCUACUUGAUUUUUUUAUAAUAAACUAAGGUCCAAUUUAGAAGCACUCCCAAUCGCUCUUGCACGCGCAUAGCUCCAACUCUGCUUACUCCCUGGUUCGUGAUUCUUUUUUUUCACGAACGGGGUUGAGCCCGUAUUUCAUUAAGACGAAAGGAGUAUACUUUUACAAUCGAUUGUUAGACCCACUACUAGGUUGUUUGCGAGUAGCAAGCGAAACAUUAGCGAGGCUAACAACCCAAAAAAAAACCAGAACUACUAUACAGUGGUUGAUUGUGCGACCAAGCCAACACCAACACCACCAACGGACGUCCAAAAGGAGGCCAGUGCAGAAAAACCCACGUCGAUCCACCGCGCACCU